UAAUGGCCUACCAAGCCAAGACGGGUAGCUGGUCUGAGAGGAUGAUCAGCCACACUGGAACUGAGACACGGUCCAGACUCCUACGGGAGGCAGCAGUGGGGAAUCUUGCGCAAUGGGCGAAAGCCUGACGCAGCGACGCCGCGUGAGUGAUGAAGGCCUUCGGGUUGUAAAGCUCUGUGGAGGGGGACGAUAAGUCGGAGCGAAUAGCUCCGAUGAUGACGGUACCCCUUUAGCAAGCACCGGCUAACUCUGUGCCAGCAGCCGCGGUAAGAACAGAGGGUGCAAACGUUGUUCGGAAUUACUGGGCGUAAAGCGCGUGUAGGCUGCUCGACAAGUCGGAUGUGAAAGCCCUGGGCUCAACCUAGGAAGUGCAUUCGAUACUGUCGAGCUUUGAGUCCUGGAGAGGAAGGCGGAAUUCUCGGUGUAGAGGUGAAAUUCGUAGAUAUCGAGAG
This 452-nucleotide ribosomal RNA is filed under the name uncultured bacterium. RNAcentral's name for it is "bacterial SSU rRNA". It matches the Rfam family "Bacterial small subunit ribosomal RNA", at positions 258 to 703 of the family's 1533-position model. The record is from RNAcentral.